This 558-nucleotide ribosomal RNA is filed under the name Salmonella enterica subsp. enterica serovar Enteritidis. Its description in RNAcentral is "bacterial SSU rRNA". It matches the Rfam family "Bacterial small subunit ribosomal RNA", at positions 95 to 671 of the family's 1533-position model. The record is from RNAcentral. Lineage: Bacteria; Pseudomonadati; Pseudomonadota; Gammaproteobacteria; Enterobacterales; Enterobacteriaceae.
GUGGCGGACGGGUGAGUAACGCGUGGGUAACCUGCCUUGUACUGGGGGACAACAGUUAGAAAUGACUGCUAAUACCGCAUAAGCGCACAGUAUCGCAUGAUACAGUGUGAAAAACUCCGGUGGUACAAGAUGGACCCGCGUCUGAUUAGCUAGUUGGUAAGGUAACGGCUUACCAAGGCGACGAUCAGUAGCCGACCUGAGAGGGUGACCGGCCACAUUGGGACUGAGACACGGCCCAAACUCCUACGGGAGGCAGCAGUGGGGAAUAUUGCACAAUGGGCGAAAGCCUGAUGCAGCGACGCCGCGUGAGUGAAGAAGUAUUUCGGUAUGUAAAGCUCUAUCAGCAGGGAAGAAAAUGACGGUACCUGACUAAGAAGCCCCGGCUAACUACGUGCCAGCAGCCGCGGUAAUACGUAGGGGGCAAGCGUUAUCCGGAUUUACUGGGUGUAAAGGGAGCGUAGACGGUAAAGCAAGUCUGAAGUGAAAGCCCGCGGCUCAACUGCGGGACUGCUUUGGAAACUGUUUAACUGGAGUGUCGGAGAGGUAAGUGGAAUUCCU